RNAcentral lists this ribosomal RNA (376 nucleotides) under Cryptocercus kyebangensis. RNAcentral describes it as "partial 12S ribosomal RNA". The record is from RNAcentral. Lineage: Eukaryota; Metazoa; Arthropoda; Insecta; Blattodea; Cryptocercidae.
AUACCCUAUUAUUUUAGAUGUUAAUUAUUUAACCUGAGUAGUAAUAGAUAUGAUCUUGAAACUUAAAGAAUUUGGCAGUAUUUUAUUCUGUUCAGAGGAACCUGUUCUUUUAUCGAUAAUCCUCGUUGGACCUUACUUAAUUUAUUGAUUUGUAUACCGCCGUUGUAUUGAGGAUCUUUGUAGUGUUUUAAUUUUCUGGUUUUUUUAUUUUAAAUUAUUUCAGGUCAAGGUGCAAUUUAUGAUUAAGUAGAAAUGGGUUACUUUUUUAUUUAUUUUUGGAUUUUUAGAUGAAAUUUUAAUAUGAAAUUGGAUUUGAAUGUAAUUUUUAUUUUAGAUUGUAUUGAUGAUUUAGUUUCUAAAUGUGUACACAUCGCCC